GUUUUGAAUGAAAAAAAAAGUUGAAAACGUGAAACAGCAAAAAUGAGUUUAUUCUCACAGCACAUCAGAAACAGUUUUUUUUUAAAGCACAACAAUACCAAACCAGCCUUAAGUCCUACUACAAAUUGUUCAUGCAUAAGAGUUCAAAGCUCAAUUUAUCCUUUUUUUUUUAAAUAAUAAUUAUUAUUAUUAAGGAGAUGAGGGAGAGUUCGAAAUUAUUACAAUAAUUAAAAAGAUGAGGAAUUUCGAACCCAUAAUGCAAAUGUAAAGACCAAAUGCAAGCUUAAUUUAUCCUUGUUUAGCUAGAAACCAUGCCAUGAAUCCCAACAAUGCAGCGUGAAUGUAUGGAGAAGUUUUUAGCACUAUGGUCACACUGUCGUGUAAUAACACUAUAUCCAUUUAUUAAAAGACAUAUCAACGUUAUCAUUUAUCUAUAUUCGAACGCGUGAUAUCAUUAAGGGCCAAUUCGGGAUUGUUGUGCUCUUUUUAAAAAUUGCUCUUAUUGUGCUUUAAGUAUAAUCAGUUGUAAAAUAAAGUAAUUGAGUGUUGAUAAAUUUUAAUUAAAGUGUUGUGAUUAGGAAAAACAAUGUAAAGAUGUUUGGUAAAUUUUAAUGUAAAAGUGAUAUAAAAUAGACAUGAUAGUGUGAACGGUGACAACGACAACGAUGGCAAGAGCAAUGUUGUGAUGAUGGUGGUGGUGGUGCCAAUAAAUGAGUGUGGUGAUUGGGCUAUAGAGGUAACAAUGGUGAUAGGAAAUGGUGAUGGUGGCAGUUGUGGUUGUGGUUGUGUUUGUGGUGGUGGUGAUGGCGAUGGCAGCAAUGAUGGUAGUGACAGUUGUGUUUGUGGUUGUAAUGGUGACGAGUAUGGUUGUAGUGGUGGUGGUGCAAUUGUGGUGUCGUGGUGGAGGAAACAAUGGUAAUGGUAAUGGUAAUGGUAGUGUAAGAGGCUAAGGUUUGUAGGGGUCUCUUUGUUCUCUAAGGAUAAAAUGUGUCUAAAAGAAUAGAUUAUGUCAUUUUUAAAAUUAAUGAGUAUAUUACAGGAAUUAAAAAUAUUAUUAAAGUUUCAACUUGACUUUUUAUUAAAGUAGCUUUUAACAGCAACUCGCAUGAUGCUUUUAAAAUGAGCAUGAUAUUUUAUUUUUAGCAAACACUUUUUUACUGUUUAACUUUAAAGUAAAUCAGCUUUUGAUAAAAAAAAUAUAUAUCAAACUGAGGCUAAGUCCCUUGACAAUGUAACAAAACACCAAAAAUUUCUCAAGAGUGUACGACCCAAAUUGCUAUAAGCUGCAAAGUAUUUUAAAUGCUUCACUGUUCUAUGUUAAAGCAACGGAAACAUUUUAAUAAGAAAAGUUGAGGACUUAUGAGCUCACAUUUAAUUGUUAAAUUGGACAUAGAACGGCUGAUAUACACGACAGAUGAGAGUUGGUGAGGAUGCAAUUUCUCAAUUUAACAACGUCAUUGAUUAUGUAUUACCAUUAACUUAGCAAUGAAAUUACAUUUCUCUGCUAGGAAGGUGUCACAGGAUAGUUUCUCGUGAGACAAAUGUUAAUGGCUCUAUUAAAAGUGAGACUCCAAAAACUCUUAUCCACCUCAUAUUUUUUGCACAAUGUUUCUAAUGUUAACACGAGAAUUGAUGUUAAAAUGUGAGUUGAUAGUUGUAAAGCUAUAGACAGUCAAGCUCAAUCCAACGAUCAAGAAGAUUCCACUUGUCAAGAGAUUAGUUGAUAAAAGUUGUUAGUUUGUUAAGAAUUAGUUUACUUAUUGUGUAAGUAUUGUAACUAGUAUAAAUAAGAAAUCCUUGUAUCCAUUGAGAUGGUGAAGAAAUAAUAUCAGUGCAAUACUCUCUCAUUCUCUUCGAUCUCUCCUUCUCUCUCUAGAUUAUGUGCAUACAAUUUCUCUCUAAAACUAUCACGCCCCGAUCCCGACAUACGUCUAGGAUCGACACGUGAUGUCACCAAAUACUCGUAUCUCUAACUUACCCCGCCUCCGGGAUAAGGCAAAGCAUAACUCGAAAAUCGAAUCACAUAACAAUUUUUCAUAUACUUUAUGGCGGCAUCUAACCUCCUCGUUAGACUGCCUACGUACCCUCAAUAGGGAUCAAGCCAUUCGUAGUUCACCAUUCACCUUACCAGAACAUUUGUCAUAUAGUUCACUUUAUUUUCAACAUGAUACCUCCAUCCACAUCAUGUAGUAUAUCAAAUAAUCAACAAAGCACAAUAUUAUUCUCAAGCCACAUUGAUCAACUAAAAUAAUCAUAAUAAUAACAAUCAUAUCCAACGUUAUUCCACAAUUCCGUCAAUUUGUCAUUUCAUGACUCAAAGAUGCAUGAUCUUAGCAUUUAACUACGUUAAUCAAUCAAUGCGAAAACAUAUCAUUUCACAAAUUUAAUCAAGGAACUCUAUAUAUUCUCUAUUUGGAUUUUGAGUAAUAAACAUGGUGAAUCUAAAUUAUACUCACAAGGUCUUUUGUGGGUAAUUUCCAUUCACUCGAAUCUAGAGUUCUAGACUAAUCUUAUGGAAAUGAGCAUGAGCAAGGAUUCCGAACCACUCAACGGAAUCCAAUAACAUCGGUUUCCAGGCCACUCGACGGAACCAAAAUAUCAAGCGGUUUCUCUUAAUCUACCCAAAUCUAUCACAUGUAUACUCAUGCCUACAUCAUGGGAAUGGUGCAUUGGGUAAAUCAGAACUUGGAUAAACUGCGAAGCUCGGGUGAGUGACAAUAAUACAAGUAUGUGAUAAUCAAUAAAAAAAAAACCAUCAAUCACAGUUUAUAAACCUCAAAUAUAAGUUCGUAAAUAUGAAAACAUAGUCAAGUCUCUAACAACUCCGAAUGAGUCACCUAGACAUCCAACGACUUUUCCCAUUCAAACCACCAAGAUUCUCAAAAACCAUCGUUCAUAUAUACAUUAAAACUAGGGUUAGAUGGACGCAGUUCGGCCGAAGCCUACAUAACUAACCAAACAAGAAAUGGCCCUCCAAAGCGGAUUAACCAAGCAGAGUCACUUCUACAGUUGUUAGGAAGUGAUCACCCAAUGCUUAGGUCUUGCUCUAAGGGUUGAGGGGAGUCUAUUGGUGGUGGUGAUCAACGGUAAUCGUUGUCGGAAUCACCAUAACAUGAGAAAACUCAUCGAAAAACCCUCAGCACUUUGUGGCUUUGAUGGUAAUUUUUACCACUUGUAAGACAAAGGAUUAAACCAUAGAAAAUUCUUGCAAGAGAACAAGUGUU
This 3224-nucleotide long non-coding RNA is filed under the name Malus domestica (apple). RNAcentral's name for it is "long non-coding RNA (MDOM_LNC001167)". Lineage: Eukaryota; Viridiplantae; Streptophyta; Magnoliopsida; Rosales; Rosaceae. The record is from RNAcentral.